Molecule: transfer RNA, 76 nt
Filed under: Patescibacteria group bacterium
Lineage: Bacteria
Description: tRNA-Val
Rfam family: tRNA
About the family: Transfer RNA (tRNA) molecules are approximately 80 nucleotides in length.
Source: RNAcentral
GGGCGAUUAGCUCAGUUGGUAGAGCAGCGCAUUUACACUGCGAAGGUCGGGGGUUCAAAUCCCUCAUCGCCCACCA